UACGUAGGGUGCAAGCGUUGUCCGGAAUCAUUGGGCGUAAAGCGCGCGCAGGCGGCCCGAUAAGUCCGCUGUGAAAGUCAACGGCUCAACUGUUGAAAGCCGGUGGAUACUGUCGGGCUAGAGUACGGAAGAGGCAAGUGGAAUUCCUGGUGUAGCGGUGGAAUGCGCAGAUAUCAGGAGGAACACCUAUAGCGAAGGCAGCUUGCUGGGACGUUACUGACGCUGAGGCGCGAAAGCGUGGGGAGCGAACAGG
Molecule: ribosomal RNA, 253 nt
Filed under: uncultured bacterium
Lineage: Bacteria
Description: partial 16S ribosomal RNA
Rfam family: Bacterial small subunit ribosomal RNA
Source: RNAcentral